AGAUCUCAAGCCCAGUUCAUGGCCUGACCCGUCGUCACCAAGGCCCGGACAUGCUAUCGGCUCCCUGAUCUAUGAGAGAACAGAGGUUUGGGCCAAGGACACUGGGAGUUAUACUUCUGGGCUUCUCAGCUCUCAGGGUCCCAGCGUUUUAAAAUUUCGUUUCAUUUUUUGGUUAGGUUAACAGAAACAAUGGGGUUAUUUCCGGUAGUGGCAACAGCACGAACUAGUUUUCUUGUGGACUAAUGGCCCGAGAGUUCCUGUGAUUUGUGGAUUAUUUCCCUUAGAUGCAAUCGACCAUUUCGUUCCAAUAAGAAUUAAUGCUACCACGGGGCUUACAAAGAACCCCUCAAGUCUUCCAAAUCUGCCCAUGACAUCAACCUCUGCUGCGUAAUCGGACCUGCACCCAACCCAGGUUUUUAGUCACUCAAGCGCGCUGUGCUACAGAACCAGGGAAAAGCACUGAAGCUCUGAACAUAGAGCUUGGCCAUCAGGGCCACACCCCCACACCCACCCGGGUACCAUCCGACCUAGGGACUCUUCCUGCUCCGAAUCUACCUGGCAGGGCCUAGAAGCCACUAUCCAGGUGCCUGCUUUUCAAUGGGGAAUGUUUUUUACCCCGAUCAAAGAAUGACCUCAAAGGUCAUUGUACUGUAGUAGAGAAAUAAUUACAAAAUACAAACACUCCAAAUAAAAUAACAAUCACUCAAGUUUCUUAUUUGUAAGUGAUCAGAGUUAGUGAUCCAGGAUAAUUUGCAGGCAUCAGCUGGCCACAAAUCGUGGACCUCCAUUUUGAAAUGAGCAUGAUUCCAUCAUUAAUUACGAAAAACACCUUUCCACAAAGAUGACAUGUUUUGUUCAGAAACUCUUUUAUGGCCCACGUUGUUACAUUGGAAUUUUAAGGGAAUAAUAAGUUAGGAUUUACCACUGGGUGCUUUGGGAACCAUACCCUUGCCUUGCGCAGGCAGUCUCAUGCGCAAUGCGGCAGACUGUCCAAAGGUUUCAUUUCACAAUGUUCAUGAGGGAAUAGGCAAUAGGAUUUGCGAACUGCAUCCGCAAGUGCCAUUCAAAAUCAGUGGGAGAAAAUAGCUUUUUUUCUUCUGCAAAGGAUUUUCUUUUAUGCAUAUUGUUUCAGUUCAGCAGUUUUGAAGUUGAGGGAAGAAUGUUGCAAUGUAAUAUUUAUUAGCAGGUGGGAAAAAAAACACAACCCAUCAAUACAUUUAGAGAGCAAAAAGAUCUACUCUUUUCCUACUCUGGCAAAUAAGAAACACACGAUGUUUCAACACAGAGAUGUCUUGUAUUUCUCAAAGAUCUAUUGGGUUUUUACCAAGACCUGCACCAUAUAUUCUGAUACCAUUACCUCCCAAAACAUGGAUUCAUUUUGUGAUAUAAAAGAAUCCAAAUUCACCUGACGGAUUAUCAUAUGCGGGAAGAGCCUAUCUUGAGUUGCUUAAAAAUUUCUCUAAGAACUAGAGAAACAUUUAAAAAUAUUUAAAAUUCCAUCUCAUACAACACAAGGCCCAAUAAACCAUCAACCCUAGAAAUUAACCAGCAUCAGUCACUAAAGCCUAGAUUCAAACACCAAGCACAUCCUAGAAACAGAGAAUUCACCCCACCCCCACCCAAGCCCCAACCCUCAAAAAACACCUGUUAGCCUCCCAGGAACCUCUGGCCACGGCCACAGGUAAACCACAAAAACCACAGCUCUAUAUAAAAUGCCUUUAGUGACCCCCAGCAAAGUGGAGAUGUUCAGUAGUAACCCGUCUAUACACUUUCCUAGGGUAGGAUUGAGGGGCUCUCCAUCUAGGCAGUGGGAUCCUGUCUGUGGCUACCCGUAUCUCAGAAUUUUUGAAAUAAUACUGCCCCCUUAGACUUCUGAACCCAGCCGGACUCCACCCCAGGCCCCAGGGGACGCCCUAGGAACGAAGUGAUUGGGGGAAGGGGCUUAGACAGCGACCCCCCACUUCCCCGGGAAAUGUAGGGGAGCAGCCGGACUGAGCUGCCCAAGGGGGUCGGCGCCCCAGGCUUCUUGGUGGCAUGCUGGGGAGCGGGGAGGGGGCGAUUCUUACCCGAAGGCUGCCGAGCUACAGGCGGCGGUCGGUCCGGGCGUCUGCUGUAAUCCACUAGGCGCUCUCCGGAGGUGGCGGCGAUGCGGACCGAGUGAGCGGCGGUGGGGCCAGGCCGGGCGCCGGGCGGGAGCCGAGGCCGCGGCGGACUCCGCAAUCCCGCAGCCGGUGACUGGAGCCCACCUCUGCAGAGACAAAGGAACUGCUCUGGUGAACUCCCCCUGAAAGUAAAUGUCCUUGGCUGGCCUCCAGCAUUCCCCUCAUGGGCAUAGCCAUGCAGCCUUCAGAACCUUCCUGAAAGAGAUGCCCAAGGAUUCAGCAAACACGGGGGAAGCAGAGGACACAAGAAGCUUGGAUGUGAAAUAGCACUUCCUUCUGUGUUACAGAAUAAAACAAUAUUUUAAAUUACACAAGCAGAUGGGGCAAGUUUUUGGGCCCUCAGAAGCCCAGAAGACUUCACACUAGUAUACUGGUAUAUACAUGUGGAAUUGAGCAAAUAACUUGUUUAAUUCCAAAAUUUUCUGAGAAAUAAUCUCAAUAGUCAAUUUGCCUCAUUAUCCUCUCCCCAUCUUACCCAAAUAAAAGCAGAGCUUUAUGACCCUCCCUUUCAACUUGGGGAAUGAGGGCCGCAAAGACACUUUGCACUGAAAAGCAGCCAUAUUUGCAUUUUUCUCCCCUUGUGCAGAGGUAAGCGAUAUAUUGGGCUUUGUGGAACCUCACAAAAUGGCAUCCUUGAACUGACUUCUCUGAAAACCACUGAGACCCACAUUCUCUUUUGUGUGUUUCUGGUCAUUGCAAAUGGAGAGCCUAAAUCACUCAGAAGGCUUGGUUCUUUCAUUCAGUGUUAACAUUGGAGAGAACCAUUUUUCUCUAAACGGUUUACAGACCUCACUAGGCAGACUGGUGCAGUUCAGGGCUGAAAAGUGCUGCCUGGGAUGGCAAAGCAUUCUCUGAAGGUUUAUGCAAAUUUCUGCAGCAAAAAAGUGUUCGCUUGUUGCCUCAAUGCUUGGAUGUUGACACAUUUGAGCCCAUUAGAAGGGCAUCUUGUGCGCAAGUCACUGCCAGUCUGUCUGCAUGAAACACCAUGAUGGGGGGUGGGGAUGUCUAGUCAGUGUAAGAAAGAAGGUGGCGAGUGUGUGUGAUGUGUAAUUCCCCCAGGUCUUUAUUUGAACACAAAUCUAUGCUCUUUCCCAGCUACAAAAGGAAACAUUUACCUACAUGAAUAAUCAACACUCUGGGCGUGUGUGUAAGCUAUGUAUACAUACAAAUUCAUAAUCUAAUAUAUACCAGCUAUUGCAACAGUCUGUCUGUACAUGAGGUAUGAAUUUACCAUGGUUUAGGCGGCCAGUGGGGCCAGAAGUUACACUUUGAGACCAGCACAGAAUGCUGAAGAAAUGACAAUUUUAUCUCCUCUUCCUUCCUUGAUUUCCGUACCCACCCAUACACAGGGCUCCCACCUGACAGUCUUGCCAACAUUAUUUCAGGGUUCUAAAAGUAUCUGGUGAGCAUCCUUGAGCAGGAGACAGCCAGUUUUGCUAAUAUAUAAAGAAGUCCUGAGUCCCUUAAAUCCAGGGCAGCUGGAUUUCAGCCAGCACUGGUCUUUGGAUGGUUUACACUGGAGGCUGUUCCCCAGCCUCUUGGCCCUUGGCAUCCUUACUCUGUACCAGCUGACAGCAGAGUCUUAAGCAGUGCACAGAGCAAAACAUUCUCAAAUCCAGCAUAGGCAUUUGCAGCUGUCUCUUGGAGUGCAAAUGUUUAAGUUCUGGGCCACCUGUGAUUUAAAAUUAUCUUUCCUGGCUCAGGUCAGAGAAUGUCACAGCCAUCACUUCUUCCCAGCAUGGAAAGCCAGGUGGUGCUUUCCUUCUGACCUGGCCAGUGGCAACAUUUCUGUGUCCAUGAAGCCACAGGCAAACAGCCUGAUAAAACCCGAUGAGG
RNAcentral lists this long non-coding RNA (3998 nucleotides) under Homo sapiens (human). Its description in RNAcentral is "HSALNT0043533". Lineage: Eukaryota; Metazoa; Chordata; Mammalia; Primates; Hominidae. The record is from RNAcentral.